CUUUUACAAUGAAGAGUUUGAUCCUGGCUCAGGAUGAACGCUAGCUACAGGCUUAACACAUGCAAGUCGAGGGGCAGCAUCAUCAAAGCUUGCUUUGAUGGAUGGCGACCGGCGCACGGGUGAGUAACACGUAUCCAACCUGCCGACAACACUGGGAUAGCCUUUCGAAAGAAAGAUUAAUACCGGAUGGCAUAGUUUUCCCGCAUGGGAUAAUUAUUAAAGAAUUUCGGUUGUCGAUGGGGAUGCGUUCCAUUAGGCAGUUGGCGGGGUAACGGCCCACCAAACCAACGAUGGAUAGGGGUUCUGAGAGGAAGGUCCCCCACAUUGGAACUGAGACACGGUCCAAACUCCUACGGGAGGCAGCAGUGAGGAAUAUUGGUCAAUGGACGAGAGUCUGAACCAGCCAAGUAGCGUGAAGGAUGACUGCCCUAUGGGUUGUAAACUUCUUUUAUACGGGAAUAAAGUUAGCCACGUGUGGCUUUUUGUAUGUACCGUAUGAAUAAGGAUCGGCUAACUCCGUGCCAGCAGCCGCGGUAAUACGGAGGAUCCGAGCGUUAUCCGGAUUUAUUGGGUUUAAAGGGAGCGUAGGCGGGUUGUUAAGUCAGUUGUGAAAGUUUGCGGCUCAACCGUAAAAUUGCAGUUGAUACUGGCGACCUUGAGUGCAACAGAGGUAGGCGGAAUUCGUGGUGUAGCGGUGAAAUGCUUAGAUAUCACGAAGAACUCCGAUUGCGAAGGCAGCUUACUGGAUUGUAACUGACGCUGAUGCUCGAAAGUGUGGGUAUCAAACAGGAUUAGAUACCCUGGUAGUCCACACAGUAAACGAUGAAUACUCGCUGUUGGCGAUAUACGGUCAGCGGCCAAGCGAAAGCAUUAAGUAUUCCACCUGGGGAGUACGCCGGCAACGGUGAAACUCAAAGGAAUUGACGGGGGCCCGCACAAGCGGAGGAACAUGUGGUUUAAUUCGAUGAUACGCGAGGAACCUUACCCGGGCUUAAAUUGCAACUGACUGAACCGGAAACGGUUCUUUCUUCGGACAGUUGUGAAGGUGCUGCAUGGUUGUCGUCAGCUCGUGCCGUGAGGUGUCGGCUUAAGUGCCAUAACGAGCGCAACCCUUAUCGAUAGUUACUAGCAGGUCAUGCUGAGGACUCUAUUGAGACUGCCGUCGUAAGAUGUGAGGAAGGUGGGGAUGACGUCAAAUCAGCACGGCCCUUACGUCCGGGGCUACACACGUGUUACAAUGGGGGGUACAGAAGGCAGCUACACGGCGACGUGGUGCUAAUCCCGAAAGCCUCUCUCAGUUCGGAUUGGAGUCUGCAACCCGACUCCAUGAAGCUGGAUUCGCUAGUAAUCGCGCAUCAGCCACGGCGCGGUGAAUACGUUCCCGGGCCUUGUACACACCGCCCGUCAAGCCAUGAAAGCCGGGGGUACCUGAAGUACGUAACCGCGAGGAGCGUCCUAGGGUAAAACUGGUGAUUGGGGCUAAGUCGUAACAAGGUAGCCGUACCGGAAGGUGCGGCUGGAACACCUCCUUUCU
RNAcentral lists this ribosomal RNA (1534 nucleotides) under Bacteroides stercoris. RNAcentral describes it as "bacterial SSU rRNA". It matches the Rfam family "Bacterial small subunit ribosomal RNA". Lineage: Bacteria; Pseudomonadati; Bacteroidota; Bacteroidia; Bacteroidales; Bacteroidaceae. The record is from RNAcentral.